CAGAUUCUGAAGGCGUACUUGGUCUAGUGGAUCCAUAUGCCACUUUAACUGAUGAUGAAGAAAGCUGCCUUCUCUGUGGUGUCUGAGAGGGAGCCUGAGAGGCCUACAGAGAGCAUGGCUGGGCAGCAGGAAGAGGGUCCCUCAACCUCCACAGCACAGAUUGACACAGUGAGAUACGUAUUCAGUAAAUUCCAGAGGUUAAUUCAGUGGAAUUCAUGUGCAACUGUAUAAUGUCAUCCUUAUGUGUUCCCAGCUACCACUAAAAGAAAUCUACAAAGUGCAUUUAUUAAAAUCAGUACAAAAACAGAAAAAGAAAUGGUGCUGCUGGACCGCCAGAUAACUAAAGCGGAUCUGGAAAUUGAAUUAUUAAAACACAAGUUAGAGGUGGGUGCAUGGUC
Doryrhamphus excisus (bluestripe pipefish) is the source of this 398-nucleotide non-coding RNA. The record is from RefSeq and is a predicted model, not a curated record. Lineage: Eukaryota; Metazoa; Chordata; Actinopteri; Syngnathiformes; Syngnathidae.